Molecule: long non-coding RNA, 537 nt
Organism: Quercus robur (English oak)
Lineage: Eukaryota; Viridiplantae; Streptophyta; Magnoliopsida; Fagales; Fagaceae
Exons: 2
Source: RefSeq, a predicted model, not a curated record
CUUCUUCUGGGCUGUUUGGAUGGCAUGGGAUUUCGUUUAGGAUUUGGAUUUGGAUUUGGGUGGGUAACUUAAAAAGAGAAGAAUUUGUAUUUGACCCAAAUCCAUCCUGGAAUUCAAGUUCCAAAUCUAUUGAUUUCAAAUCCCUCACUAACCGUGGAAUUUGGGAAAUCCUCCCACAACGCUCGCGUCUUCACUGCCUCAAGCUGCGACAACAAUGUUAAAGCCGCAACCACCAUGGUGUUCAGAUACACAUACACCUCUACUAUGUCAUGGGUGUUGGCAAUGACAAGCAUGGGAAUUAUCAUGGCUUCGGGUUAUUAAAGUGCCAUGAAUAUCUUAGCAUCAACCAUCAGAAGUGUGUUGUACUUGUAGAUUUGAGAAUUGUAACUCUUUUUUAGGGAUUGAAUACCUUAAUUUGUAUGUUUUGAUUUCGUCAGAUUGAUGUGUAAAUAUGUAAAUGUAGCAAAACAUGUUGUACCUUUGGUUCUUUAAUUAAUUUCUAACACAUGAUUACAUUGAUCAAUAUAAUACAAAUAA